GCCACAUCAUGAGAAAUUAUAAAAUCGGUCCCAAGCUGGGUUCAGGCGGAUUUGGUUUGGUGUGUGAAGGAACCCGCAAUGAGGAUGAACUCAAGGUGGCUGUGAAAUUUUCAGUGAAGGCACCAAACAUGCCAAACAUCUCAGUGCCUGGUCAUCCCAAUCGCCUGCCGUUGGAGAUCGGCUUGACAC
This is a long non-coding RNA of Puntigrus tetrazona (Sumatra barb), 189 nucleotides long. RefSeq lists it as uncharacterized. The transcript is spliced from 3 exons. NCBI's taxonomy places the organism in Eukaryota, Metazoa, Chordata, Actinopteri, Cypriniformes, Cyprinidae. The record is from RefSeq and is a predicted model, not a curated record.